Molecule: long non-coding RNA, 196 nt
Organism: Ficedula albicollis (Collared flycatcher)
Lineage: Eukaryota; Metazoa; Chordata; Aves; Passeriformes; Muscicapidae
Exons: 3
Source: RefSeq, a predicted model, not a curated record
CCCGGGAUGAGGCGCCGUUACCGUGCCGGAGCCCCCGGACGCUGUGUCAGCCAUCUUGGAGCCAUAUGGAGCUGUCCGCAUGCGCCAGGCUCGAAAGUGCACAAAGACCCGACCUCAAAUGCAGCAAUACUGAGCAAGUUGGAGCCACAGUAACGUGAGCAGCACAAUCCAUGGGAAAGCAGGGAAAUGAGGAGGC